Molecule: long non-coding RNA, 1132 nt
Organism: Olea europaea var. sylvestris
Lineage: Eukaryota; Viridiplantae; Streptophyta; Magnoliopsida; Lamiales; Oleaceae
Exons: 3
Source: RefSeq, a predicted model, not a curated record
UCUCUUCCAAGCUCCAGCCACAUUUUACCUUUUGUUUCCUGAACAUUCUUCUUUCUAGAAAUUAAUUCAAAGAACAAAGAAACCUUUCCUAUUCUCAUAGCUGAAUCAGACUAAAAAAAGGGAAAUCUCAUGGUAUUCUCCAUCUGUAAUUCAUCUUUACGUCUGUCGACUCUGCAUCCCUAUGCAGUAAGGACAGAUCUGGUUCAUUCCAAAUCGAGGGCUUUUUGGAUACAUAUAAUUGCUGACAAGCCCAACACUGAAGCGGACAAAAGAGAUGAUACAAGGAAUGUUAUAUAAGUUGAAGAUUCACCUCCAACUUUUCCUAAGAGACGGAAAUUGACAUCAAAGCUAUGGAAUGAUUUUGUAAAAUUUAAGUGGCCAAAAGGAAAUGAAAUUGCAAAGUGCAAGCAUUGUUGUAAAGAAUUUGUAGGAGAAAGUGGUAAAGGAACUAGCUACUUAAAGUAUCGCUAGGAUAGGUGUAAUAGGAAAGUUAGCAGAGACAUUGGUCAACAAAUGCUAUCCAUAUCCAAAAGUUCCCCAGAGGCUGCUGCCAUAGUUCAAAAUCACGUUUGACCAAUUGAAAAGUAGGAUGGAUUUUGCUAAGGUGGUUAUCAUGCAUAAUUAUCCUUUUAAUAUGGCUGAACAUGAAUAUUUUGUGAUAUUUUGUAAUGGUUUGCAACCAAUGUUUAAGCUUGUGUCAAGAAAUACAGUGAGGUCUAAUAAUGCUAAAUUCCCUAGUUUAAGCUUGUGUCAAGAAAUACAGUGAGGUCUAAUAAUGCUAAAUUUCUUACUCUUUGAAAAAUUGCUCGGGACAUAUUUAGCUAUUCCAGCAACUAAUGUUGCAUCCAAGGCUGAAUUUAGUGUGGGAGGAAGAGUAAUUGAUGAUUUUCUUGCUUCAUUGCUUCCGAAAACUGUAGAAGUUUUGGUGACCACACAAGAUUGGCUCCCUUUCCUGAAAAAAAAGAGCUUGGUGGACUAGUGGGUGAUAUGAUAUGGAGAGAGAGCUCAAACUUAAAAAGCUGUGCUUGAGAAUUUUUUUCUUCGUUUUUGUUGCUCACUCUAUCUAGAACAUUUGUUGGAUAUGUAGUCAUUGCAAUAUUUCAUAUUUUGGUUCCUUUUUAAUUUGGUAUUA